RNAcentral lists this long non-coding RNA (3544 nucleotides) under Prunus dulcis (almond). RNAcentral describes it as "sRNA ncRNA". Lineage: Eukaryota; Viridiplantae; Streptophyta; Magnoliopsida; Rosales; Rosaceae. The record is from RNAcentral.
AUUGGGUUGCCUCAAUUCAUUACCAGAACAAAGAGCAAUCAAAAACCAAAACACAUAAAAGGUAAAAGGCCAAGCUGCAAGAUCAAGUCCAUAGUAGGGGAUCUGAACUCUGACAUGGCUGCUCAACCUCCCACAAUCCCUCUCCUUACCCCUUACAAAUUGGGAAAAUUCAAUCUUUCUCACAGGUACUUGCUUAAUCUUUUCUACAUUGCAAUAAGCUGAAGAAUGUUGCCUUUGUUUUAUCUUUUUUGUCUAAAUUUGUAUGUUGGGUCAUUUUGUUAGUUAGUGCAUUAGUUAGCCAUAGCUAACAAGAAAAUUGAAGUUGCUGCUUAUGUUUAACCUAAUUUGGUUUACUGGGUAUUUUGGUCAUUGGGGUGGCUUGAUAGUUAUAUAGCAAACUGCUGCAUUCUUUGUGAGUUUGGGUAAUGAAUAGGAAUUCUGGGGCUGUUUCUGCUGAUGUCUAGAAUUGAUAAACUAGUUGUCUUGCUUUCACAAUUGUGUAAUUGUCAAAUUCCCAGCUGCUUGCUCAUGCCCUUUUCUCCUAACGACAACGUUCCUCAGCCUCGCGCUUGUAUUUAUAAUCUAAAAUGUCUGUGUGUUUUUCAGAGUUGUUUUAGCGCCAUUGACUAGACAGAGAUCAUACCACAAUGUUCCUCAAGCACAUGCCAUCUUAUAUUACUCUCAGAGAACAUCCAAUGGGGGUCUUCUCAUAGCUGAAGCCACAGGAGUUUCUGACACAGCUCGAGGGUAAUUUGAAGUAGAGAAGCUUUCAAAUUCCGAUGUUUGAUUUUAAGUAACUAAGCUACAUUUUAGGGUGCUUUCUUCAUUUCAACGUUUGAUGACAUUUUUGUUUCUUUCGUAUGCGCAGGUACCCAGAUACUCCUGGUAUAUGGACAAAGGAGCAAGUGGAAGCAUGGAAACCCAUUGUUGAUGCCGUUCAUGCUAAAGAUGGCGUCUUCUUCUGUCAGAUUUGGCAUGUGGGGAGGGUUUCAAAUAGUGGUAUGUUUCUGGCGUACACCUUAUGACCUCACUAUCGUAGAAGAACUUGUGAGCAUAAGUGAAAAAUUAGACCAUUGAAGCAUCAUAACGCUGAUUUACCUUUCAUAAUUCAUUAUGAAAACUCAAUGUUUUCAGCAGGAUUUUCUUUAGAUGGAAGAAACUUGAUAUAUCUAAAUAACUCAGAAUUUGAUAUAUGUUUGAAUUCAUUAUGAAAUUCAAUGUUUUCAGCAUCAAAUUUUUUAUGGAAGAAGUUUAAUACACUGAAAUAACUAAGAAUUCAGAAGUAGUAUAGCAUGUGCAAAGCUUCACAACAAGUGAGUGAUUAUGAUUGAUGAUAUCGUUGCUCAAAUGGCGAUCAAAUUGUGACCUGUUAAGAUCCGGACUUGGUGUUGAUUGAUGGAACCAUUGUAUGUUAAACCAACAUGUAGAAUAACAUGAAAAAUGGAUAUGCUUGAUUGUCUGCAGACUAUUUCCAUGCACAAUUGGUGUUUUUAUUGAUUGAUCUGAUCUACCUGGAAAAAAAUAGGACUCUUUUUGUUAAAUCAUAAGUAUCAGUGAUGCUUCUCGACUUAAACUUUUAAAUAAUCUGCAUUACUCCUACUUUUAUUGCAAUUUGAGACAACUGAUUCCCUCUUUGUGUGAAAGAGUAUGCUGCUGUGGCUGUGUUGUUUAUUAUCUUGAGACGUCAGAUUGUGAUUCUAUCUUUCCUUGUUUACAGGUUAUCAACCAAAUGGGCAAUCUCCAAUCUCUUCUACUGACAAGCCAAUACGAUUAAAUGGUAUUGAUGCCAGUGAAUUCACACCUCCAAGGCGAUUAAGGACCGAUGAAAUUCCACAAAUUGUCAAUGAUUUUAGACUCGCUGCAAAGAAUGCUAUUGAAGCUGGUAAUUUGUCUUUACGUUAAAAUGAAAUAGAAUUUGUGAGCACUCAAUUUGCUUCAGAGCUUGUGCAAAAUGAACCAUAUUUUAUCAGCUAAAUGUAGUAAAGUAAAGGGAAUAAACGUACUUGAAUACAUAUAUUACAAGUAGUCUUGCCAUAAUUAUUCUAUCUGCAGUUGUUAUAGGGAGCAACUAUAAGUAGUUUUAUGCUAAUGGCUUGAACUGAAUUUGAACUCCCACAUUAAUAUUAUUUGUUAUUCUUGACCUUCCACAUCAACAAUUUAGCUUUAGUGGUUUUGAGAGCCGAUAUAAGAAAAAGGGAGUAGCUUUUGCUUAAUGAAUAAAAGGAUUGGUUCAUAUUUAGCUUUAGAAUUUCAUGAUUGUUUGAAUUUUGUGAAUCAUUAAUUGGUGUUGUAAUGAGCCCUUCUAACUGUAGGGAGGUCAAAAACAGUAUUGUAUUAAAGACAGGAGCCAUAAAAGCAAAAGUUAUCCAAGUUUUAUUUUCAAAAGGUUGUAUUAGAAGGAUGGAAUGAACAAGUCUUCUAGGCAUAUCAGUUAUCAUCUUCUCCUUGUUUCUCUUUCUUUUGUGUUGAAUGCAUGAGGCCAAAGGGGGAGGGGAUUCGAACUCUGGCCUUGAGUGUGGGGUAAAAAGCCCGCUACCACCGAAGCUACAAGCCCCUGCUCAUCUUCUCAUUGUUUUCAAUUGCAUGGUAAACAACCAUUAUUUCUUUUGUCUUGUACACUGAAAUAAUUUGUCUGCUAUAUACAGGCUUUGAUGGAGUUGAAAUUCAUGGGGCCCAUGGCUACCUUCUUGAUCAGUUUUUGAAAGAUCAAGUGAAUGAUCGAACAGACCAAUAUGGUGGAUCUCUAGAGAAUCGUUGUCGAUUUCCUUUGGAAGUCGUUGAAGCUGUUGUUAAAGAGAUAGGAGCAGAUAAAGUUGGAAUUAGACUAUCUCCAUUUGCUGACUAUAUGGACUCAGGGGAUUCAAAUCCAAAUGCGUUAGGCCUUUAUAUGGCCAAUUCCUUGAACAAAUAUGGGAUUCUGUACUGCCACAUGGUUGAGCCGAGAAUGAAGACAGUUGGAGAGAAAAGUGAAAGCCCCCACAGUCUUCUACCCAUGAGAAAGGCUUUCAAUGGUACCUUCAUUGCUGCUGGUGGUUUUGACAGGGAAGAUGGGAACAAAGCUGUGGCAGAGGGCCGUGCAGAUCUCAUCGCAUAUGGACGUUGGUUUUUGGCUAAUCCAGAUUUGCCAAAAAGAUUUGAGCUCAAUGCUCCUCUAAACGAGUACAAUAGAGACACAUUCUACAUAUCUGAUCCGGUUAUUGGUUACACUGAUUACCCAUUCCUUGAAACCACUGCUUAAGUUUCCUCCCGCCUACGGACGCUUGAAGCCUUGAACACUUUACCUGUAGGCUUUGUUGUUACUUUUCUUUCACCGUAACAUGUAGUUUAUACGAAACAAAGUGAAUAAAAGUUUAAGGGAAAGUGGCCUUGGCCAACCAGAGAUAGUUACAUUCUUAUUUGGUAGUCAUUUUUCUGCUUUGACAAAGUGAAUCCAGAUUCAUUGCAUGUUAAGAGAUGUAGCUAUAUAUUGAGAUUAUUUGUACGGGACGUUGGAAAUUUCAAAAGAACGGAUGCAUUUGGCAUGUUAUUGUUUCUACUGCGGGCG